GGAAGGAUCAUUAACAUUUUCCAAAACCUUAAUUCAACCCCAACCAUAUGUCGUUAAUUUGUUAUAUCUCUUCUAUAAACAGUCGAUUGUUAUUAAUGAAAGCAUUUUUAAUAUUUUGUGUGUAUCAUAACAAAAGAGAAAAUAGAAUGAUAAAUUUGUAUUGUACAUGAAAAGUAACCAGUCUUCUCGCGUCCCUUUUGAACUUGAGGAUCUUGUAUUUUAUUCGUAAAAUAUGAAGGAGAGUUUGAGAGAGUGUGAUAUAGCGUUUCGAGUAAUGUAUGAUAUAUAUUUGUUGUUUUGUUUUUUCAAUUGAAGUGAGAAAGCAAGAUGGAGAGAAUGUGAUUAGUUUGUAGCAAUUGGCAACUCGUUUUUUAACCCCAAACCCAACCUAAACAUUAUUUAGAACAGUUAAACGGAAGUUUGGAGAAAUCCCUACAACCGUGUUUUAUUGAAAGAUAAAACGAAACCAAGUACAACUCUAAGCGAUGGAUGUCUCGGCUCUUGUAACGAUGAAGAACGCAGCGAAAUGCGAUACGUAAUGCGAAUUGCAGUCAUCCGUGAAUCAUCGAAUCUUUGAACGCAACUUGCGCUUUCGGGAUAUUCCUGAAAGCAUGCCUCUCUGAGUAUCUGUUCUAUACUAUCUAGCCUUCGUGCUGGGAGAAUGAGUGUCUUGCUGUAAUAAGCUUAAGUCACUUGAAAUCUGUCGAGCCAUGAGUAAUUUGUUUUUUGUAUUGUCCUCAGAUUAUUCGAUCUAGUUUAUUUUAAAACUAUAAACUAAAGCAUUUGAAUCUUAUGCAAAGGAAUUAAAGAAAAGUCUUAGCGUUUCGGAAACGGCGUUUUGAUUAUCUGUCUUUUGUUGAUCAAGUGGCUCACUUCGGUGGGUUACUCUCGUUUUGUAAAGAGAGUUGCCAACGUUAGCCAGUGAGACUUCGGUCUUGCAACUUUCGUUGUUUGUGACUCAUUCAAUCUUUGUAUAACUGGGCAAGUCAAUUAAAAGGCUAAUAGUUGAAUUAGAUUUCGUUUUGAACCAGUCUCUCUUAGUAUUUAAUUUCAUUGUUUUUUAAAUGUCUUUAAUCUUUAGUUUUUUUAAGUAAGCGUUUGAGAAUUAUUCGAAGAUAAUACGUUAUAAAAAGCAUAUGAAAAGGUGUUAUUUGUUUUUCUGUGUUUUCUGUGAGAUAACUGUAACAGGUUAUUUCGCGACUUAUUGAAAACCUUUUUUUUUGAACAUAUUAGAUCUCAGAUGAAGCAAGAUUACCCCCUGGAUUUAAGCAUAUUAUUAAGGGGAGGAAAAGAAACUAACAAGGAUUCCCUUAGUAGCGGCGAGUGAACAGGGAGAAGCUCAAGGUGUCAACCGGAGUGUCUAGCGAUGCUUCGGGAUGUGCCCUUAGAACGUGUUGCCAGUUAUGACUCGGGUAUAAAUCCUUUGGAACAGGGUAUCAUAGAGGGUGAGAAUCCCGUUUAUGACUCGAAGUUUGUAACGUACGGCGCAUGUUUCACGAGUCGAGUUGCUUGGGAGUGCAGCUCUAAGUGGGUGGUAAAUUCCAUCUAAAGCUAAAUAUUGACAAGAGACCGAUAGCGAACAAGUACCGUGAGGGAAAGAUGAAAAGAACUUUGAAAAGAGAGUUAAAUAGUACCUGAAAUCGCUUAGAGGGAAGCGCUGGAAGCCAGUCAUAUAUGCGGUUACGUUUCUUGCUUAUUUGUUGGUGUUUUGUGUGCUAGUUAGUGGGUAAUUCCCUAAUGUGGUUACUAAAAUAUCAAUAGGUGAGUUUCGAAGCGUAGAUGCGUGUCAGGAUCAAUUCGACCUGAGGGAGAAAGCUGUCGAGGGGUGGCUCUUCGGAGAUUCUACUCGUGCAGUCCUUUUAACCUUGAGUUGGAUUGAGGUGAGACUUCGUAUCGUUUUACGUGAUCUUUGCUUAUGAUUUGUUGUGCAGGAACAAUACGAAAAGUAUUACUUUUUGUGCAAUGAGUUACUAAGUAGAGUAGCAGUUGAGACGAUCGGGAUCCUGGCGAAAUGGUUUUCAUCGACCCGUCUUGAAACACGGACCAAGGAGUCUAACAUAUAUGCGAGUGUUUGAGUGUAAAAACUCUGACGCGAAAUGAAAGUGAAGGCUGGUUCGCCCAGCUGAGGUAGGAAACUCUCGCAAGAGGGUGGCACUAUCGACCGAUCGUCAUUUAUGAUAGAUUUGAGUAAGAGCAUAUCUGUUGGGACCCGAAAGAUGGUGAUCUAUGCCUGAACAGGUCGAAGCCAGGGGAAACUCUGGUGGAGGAUCGUAGCGAUACUGACGUGCAAAUCGUUCGUCUGAUUUGGGUAUAGGGGCGAAAGACUAAUCGAACUAUCUAGUAGCUGGUUCCCUC
This 2355-nucleotide unclassified non-coding RNA is filed under the name uncultured fungus. RNAcentral's name for it is "sequence contains 18S rRNA gene, ITS1, 5.8S rRNA gene, ITS2, 28S rRNA gene". The stretch from base 1232 to 2355 matches the Rfam family "Eukaryotic large subunit ribosomal RNA", at positions 1 to 961 of the family's 3401-position model. The record is from RNAcentral. Lineage: Eukaryota; Fungi.